This 489-nucleotide ribosomal RNA is filed under the name uncultured bacterium. RNAcentral's name for it is "partial 16S ribosomal RNA". It matches the Rfam family "Bacterial small subunit ribosomal RNA", at positions 30 to 507 of the family's 1533-position model. The record is from RNAcentral.
UUGAACGCUGGCGGCAGGCCUAACACAUGCAAGUCGAACGGUAACAGGAAACAGCUUGCUGUUUCGCUGACGAGUGGCGGACGGGUGAGUAAUGUCUGGGAAACUGCCUGAUGGAGGGGGAUAACUACUGGAAACGGUAGCUAAUACCGCAUAACGUCGCAAGACCAAAGAGGGGGACCUUCGGGCCUCUUGCCAUCGGAUGUGCCCAGAUGGGAUUAGCUAGUAGGUGGGGUAACGGCUCACCUAGGCGACGAUCCCUAGCUGGUCUGAGAGGAUGACCAGCAACACUGGAACUGAGACACGGUCCAGACUCCUACGGGAGGCAGCAGUGGGGAAUAUUGCACAAUGGGCGCAAGCCUGAUGCAGCCAUGCCGCGUGUAUGAAGAAGGCCUUCGGGUUGUAAAGUACUUUCAGCGGGGAGGGAGGGAGUAAAGUUAAUACCUUUGCUCAUUGACGUUACCCGCAGAAGAAGCACCGGCUAACUCCGUG